This 421-nucleotide ribosomal RNA is filed under the name uncultured bacterium. Its description in RNAcentral is "bacterial SSU rRNA". It matches the Rfam family "Bacterial small subunit ribosomal RNA", at positions 355 to 773 of the family's 1533-position model. The record is from RNAcentral.
UAAGGAAUAUUGGUCAAUGGACGCAAGUCUGAACCAGCCAUGCCGCGUGAAGGAUUAAGGCCCUCUGGGUUGUAAACUUCUUUUAUAGGGGAAGAAAUGUGACGGUUCUCCGUCACUUGACGGUACCCUGGGAAUAAGCACCGGCUAACUUCGUGCCAGCAGCCGCGGUAAUACGAAGGGUGCAAGCGUUACUCGGAAUUACUGGGCGUAAAGCGUGCGUAGGUGGUUGUUUAAGUCUGAUGUGAAAGCCCUGGGCUCAACCUGGGAAUGGCAUUGGAAACUGGGCAGCUAGAGGGCGGUAGAGGGUAGUGGAAUUCCCGGUGUAGCAGUGAAAUGCGUAGAGACCGGGAGGAACAUCUGUGGCGAAGGCGACUGCCUGGACCAGAACUGACACUGAGGCACGAAAGCGUGGGGAGCAAAC